Molecule: ribosomal RNA, 1449 nt
Filed under: uncultured bacterium
Lineage: Bacteria
Description: bacterial SSU rRNA
Rfam family: Bacterial small subunit ribosomal RNA
Source: RNAcentral
AGAGUUUGAUCCUGGCUCAGGAUGAACGCUGGCGGCGUGCUUAACACAUGCAAGUCGAACGAACCUUCGGGUUAGUGGCGGACGGGUGAGUAACGCGUGAGAAUCUGCCCUCAGGAGGGGGAUAACGGUUGGAAACGACCGCUAAUACCCCAUAUGCCUACUGGUGAAACGAAUUUCGCCUGAGGAUGAGCUCGCGUCUGAUUAGCUAGUUGGUGAGGUAAUGGCUCACCAAGGCUUCGAUCAGUAGCUGGUCUGAGAGGAUGAUCAGCCACACUGGGACUGAGACACGGCCCAGACUCCUACGGGAGGCAGCAGUGGGGAAUUUUCCGCAAUGGGCGAAAGCCUGACGGAGCAACGCCGCGUGAGGGACGAAGGCCUCUGGGCUGUAAACCUCUUUUCUCAAGGAAGAAGAUAUGACGGUACUUGAGGAAUAAGCCACGGCUAAUUCCGUGCCAGCAGCCGCGGUAAUACGGGAGUGGCAAGCGUUAUCCGGAAUUAUUGGGCGUAAAGCGUCCGCAGGCGGCUUUUCAAGUCUGCUGUUAAAACGUGGAGCUUAACUCCAUCAUGGCAGUGGAAACUGAAAGGCUUGAGUAUGGUAGGGGCAGAGGGAAUUCCCGGUGUAGCGGUGAAAUGCGUAGAUAUCGGGAAGAACACCAGUGGCGAAGGCGCUCUGCUGGGCCAUUACUGACGCUCAUGGACGAAAGCCAGGGGAGCGAAAGGGAUUAGAUACCCCUGUAGUCCUGGCCGUAAACGAUGAACACUAGGUGUCGGGGGAAUCGACCCCUUCGGUGUCGUAGCUAACGCGUUAAGUGUUCCGCCUGGGGAGUACGCACGCAAGUGUGAAACUCAAAGGAAUUGACGGGGGCCCGCACAAGCGGUGGAGUAUGUGGUUUAAUUCGAUGCAACGCGAAGAACCUUACCAGGGUUUGACAUCCUGCGAACCUCUUAGAAAUUUGAGGGUGCCUUCGGGAAUGCAGUGACAGGUGGUGCAUGGCUGUCGUCAGCUCGUGUCGUGAGAUGUUGGGUUAAGUCCCGCAACGAGCGCAACCCACGUUUUUAGUUGCCAGCAUUUAGUUGGGCACUCUAGAAAGACCGCCGGUGAUAAACCGGAGGAAGGUGUGGAUGACGUCAAGUCAUCAUGCCCCUUACACCCUGGGCUACACACGUACUACAAUGCUACGGACAAAGGGCAGCAAACUCGCGAGAGCUAGCAAAUCCCAUAAACCGUGGCUCAGUUCAGAUCGUAGGCUGCAACUCGCCUACGUGAAGUAGGAAUCGCUAGUAAUCGCAGGUCAGCAUACUGCGGUGAAUACGUUCCCGGGCCUUGUACACACCGCCCGUCACACCAUGGAAGUUGGCCAUGCCCGAAGUCGUUACUCCAACCCUUGUGGAGGAGGACGCCGAAGGUGGGGCUAAUGACUGGGGUGAAGUCGUAACAAGGUAACCGUA